Molecule: ribosomal RNA, 379 nt
Filed under: uncultured eukaryote
Lineage: Eukaryota
Description: partial 18S ribosomal RNA
Rfam family: Eukaryotic small subunit ribosomal RNA
Source: RNAcentral
CAAUAGCGUAUAUUUAAGUUGUUGCAGUUAAAAAGCUCGUAGUUGGAUUUCGGAUGGGACUUGCCGGUCCGUCGUUUCGAUGUGCACUGGCCAGUCCUAUCUUGUUGUCGGGGACUAGCUCCUGGGCUUCACUGUCCGGGACUAGGAGCUGACGAGGUUACUUUGAGUAAAUUAGAGUGUUCAAAGCAAGCCUACGCUCUGAAUACAUUAGCAUGGAAUAACACGAUAGGACUCUGGCUUAUCUUGUUGGUCUGUGAGACCAGAGUAAUGAUUAAGAGGGACAGUCGGGGGCAUUCGUAUUUCAUUGACAGAGGUGAAAUUCUUGGAUUUAUGAAAGACGAACUUCUGCGAAAGCAUUUGUCAAGGAUGUUUUCAUUAA